CUCUCCGGGUGGGUAAUAAAAUGAGUCUACGUAGGGAGGAAGCAGGAUGUAUAAAGCCCAGGAGCCUGAUCUGUUUCUGAGAUCAAACAGAGCAGCAUUGUACCGGGGUGUGGAGCUGAUGUCAGCAUCUAGAAUGCUGGUCGGAAUCGCCCUGGUUACGCAGCUGGACCGGAAUAAGGCAAGGUUGUGAGUUCAAGCCCAGAAAAAGAAGGAGAAGAAAAAGAAGAAUGGAGAAGUUCUGAUGAAGUAGAUGCCAAGGCUGCUCCUUCCGACGUUUGCAUUCGAGCAUUAUCUGGGUGAGAAGACCUGGGACCACCAGCUCCAUGGAAACUCUCUACUCCUGACAGAUGGCUUGCUUGUCCAAACCCAUCAUUUUUUUUCUUCAAAUACACACAGCCCAACGUGGGAAUGAAGACAGAAAAACAUAAAUGCCCCUCAAAACCCAAAGUCUCAACCAACAACCCCAUAAUCUAGCACACCCCAAUAAACGUAGAUCCAUAAUGA
Suricata suricatta (meerkat) is the source of this 504-nucleotide long non-coding RNA. RefSeq lists it as uncharacterized. The transcript has 3 exons. NCBI's taxonomy places the organism in Eukaryota, Metazoa, Chordata, Mammalia, Carnivora, Herpestidae. The record is from RefSeq and is a predicted model, not a curated record.